CAGCCGCCGCGGUAAUACAGAGGGUGCGAGCGUUAAUCGGAAUUACUGGGCGUAAAGCGUGCGCAGGCGGUUAUAUAAGACAGAUGUGAAAUCCCCGGGUUCAACCUGGGACCUGCAUUUGUGACUGUAUAGCUAGAGUACGGUAGAGGGGGAUGGAAUUCCGCGUGUAGCAGUGGAAUGCGUAGAUAUGCGGAGGAACACCGAUGGCGAAGGCAAUCCCCUGGACCUGUACUGACGCUCAUGCACGAAAGCGAGGGGAGCAAACAGGAUUAGAUACCCCCGUAGUCCCUGUCCUUAUACA
This 301-nucleotide ribosomal RNA is filed under the name uncultured bacterium. RNAcentral describes it as "partial 16S ribosomal RNA". It matches the Rfam family "Bacterial small subunit ribosomal RNA", at positions 509 to 809 of the family's 1533-position model. The record is from RNAcentral.